Molecule: RNA transcript, 989 nt
Organism: Lolium rigidum
Lineage: Eukaryota; Viridiplantae; Streptophyta; Magnoliopsida; Poales; Poaceae
Exons: 3
Source: RefSeq, a predicted model, not a curated record
CAUCGUUUCCUCCCCACUCCCCAACCUCCCUCGCUCGCCAAAAUAGCCAACGCCGCCGCUACACCCGAGGCGCCGACCUCCUCUUCCCGCUCCCCUCCCUCUCUUCCUCGCUAAUGCAGCCGGCCAGCAACAGAUCCUAUAACCUCCUCAGCGUUCCUGAUGUUGGGGUCGACGGCAGCGGUGCCGCCAUAUCAACAUCAGGGCUGCCCUUCUGGAUUCCUCCACCGCCUCCCUCAUGCGCUCAAGGGGUUGUUCCUCCACUGUUUCCCUCGCCACAUGCAGCCGGCGUUUCGUCGCCGUCAACUUCCGCGAGGAGAGAAGGAAAGACCCCCAAAAGCCCCUCCAAAGAAGAGGUUUAUGCCACCGGUAGUGCCUGUAGUGGGAUCAUUUUUACUAAGACAAUAGUACUGGAUCAUGCUUUACCAUUGCAAUCUAGUUCUGCCCAGUUUCUUUGAUUCUUUCUCCAUAAAUUUGCUUGGUAAUAGGUCUGGUUGAUUGAUUGUUAGUACCAAUUUGUUACUUCACAUUUUGCCUUUACUGGCACUGUAAGAUGUCCAUGCUACUCUCUCAGAUCACCGCCAAGCAGGCUAGUGUGGACUGCCGAUGUGUCAUAUGUUGAGAACCCCAAAGUAUUUAGCAUAUUGAUUUACUACUCUUUUCCAGUGCGUUUUGCAGGUUUUAGAGCAGGGCUACAAGGUCAAGGGUCAACAACUAGCACAUGGCAAAUCUAAUUAUGUAAUGAGUGAAAAGAGUUCUCCAGUGCAGCUCCAGAGUCGUAAUGGUCUUCUUCCCACUGCACUUGAUGCAGUACCCACCACAAACUCUGAAGCUUUUUGCUUUCUUGUGUUGCUUCAGAACUUUUUUUAAGAGAUUGAAGGUUCUUCAUAUUAGAAUCAAUCUUGUGCUUAGUCUCAUACAUUGGUUGAUAAUGUUGUAAUAAUUAGCCAAUAUCCGUGGACUGAAUACUGUUGCCCCCUGAGUUCAAGUGA